UGUGUGUGUGUGUGUGUAUUCUUUCUUGAUCUAGAUCUAGAUCAACCGCACGUGCAAGUGACUGACUGAAACAGAAUUUCACAAGAGAUAGAUAGGAGAGUUCCAAUUCGGGAAGUUCAAGCCUCGUUUUCAAAGUACAUAGGUGCACCGGAAGCAGAUUACAGGGGAAAGCUAAAUUGUCUUCGUUUUGGGGAAGAGCAAAGAAUGGGUCAAAACUUGGAGUAAAAAUAGUUGGAUUACACGUUUCUUUCCUUUGUCAAGAUAUCAGCUGGGAUUGCCCCAUAGCUGGCUAUAUAUUCUUUACUGAGAUUUCAUUUGUCAAGUUUAUCAAUUACGGAGGAGUACUGUAGCAUGAUUUGAAAGUGGAUAUAAUUUCUUUUUCAUCAUGAAUGGCCUGAGUCCAGGCAAGUAUGUUCCGAGCAGUCCUAUUUGUACAGAUCCUUUCAAUACCAAGUAUACCGUCCAGGAGGAUAUUGGGAGGUGAGUUGAAUUUUUAAAUUAUUAUGUGUUGAUGUCUGUAGUUUUGGAAUGUGUGUUAUCGGUAUGGUUGCUACAGUUGAACCAGUCCUGACUGUCCAUAAAUGUCACUCAAGAUUGCACAGAGAAAAGGUUAUUAUCAUUAUAAUAAGAAGACAUGUGACCAUUAUGGACAGGAUCUGAGUUCUUAAUACAGGUAUAAAAAUAAAUUCUUACUUGGGUACAUAUAUGUGUAGUAAGCCAUUUCGUUUCCAUCAAAAUGGUGUCUAUCAUUGGAGCUUCUAAAAAAAUAUAUAUGUUGCCAACAGAUUCAAACACCCUUGGAAUAGCGGCCAUUCAUGAGUCGAAACAACACAAGAGAAAGCAAAUAAACAAAUUUUAAAAAGCCAAAAAAAACA
Molecule: long non-coding RNA, 875 nt
Organism: Aplysia californica (California sea hare)
Lineage: Eukaryota; Metazoa; Mollusca; Gastropoda; Aplysiida; Aplysiidae
Exons: 2
Source: RefSeq, a predicted model, not a curated record